GAAAUACUCCCCGGAUACCCACGGUAAUUCUGCGGCUAAUACGUAGUACAUUCGGCUCCGGGUCGCCGCAGGGUGACCUAGCCGGACUCGCCCCCCCGCCCGGCUUCUAACCGAGCGUGAGCGCAGGCGAGCUUACCUUACCGCGGGGAAUCCCCCAUGGAGAGUGUGACGGGCUUCAGACCUAUCAACUAGACGGCCGGGGAUAGCCCGGCCGUGGUUAUAACGGGUACAGAGGAUCAGGGUUCGGUCCUGGAGAGGUAGCCUGAGAGAUCGCUACUACUUCUAAGGAAGGCAGCAGGCGCGCAACGUUCCCAAUGGGGAUACCCUGAGGACGUGAAGGGACAUAUCAAUGCCCGGCCCUUAAAGCCGGGCAAUUGGAAUGGGGGCCAUUUAAACCCCACACCGAGUAACAAUUGGAGGACAAGU
Molecule: ribosomal RNA, 426 nt
Filed under: Oligonema favogineum
Lineage: Eukaryota; Evosea; Eumycetozoa; Trichiida; Trichiidae
Description: SSU rRNA
Rfam family: Eukaryotic small subunit ribosomal RNA
Source: RNAcentral